GCUGUACAGUAUGAGCCAUCAGAACAGAAGCAACACGAAUAAGAGAUGGGAAAUGCCUGCAUGAAACUCGUCUAUGAAGAGGGCAAAGACAUGUACACUGCCAACAUGCAUGUUAUUGCC
Molecule: long non-coding RNA, 120 nt
Organism: Sinocyclocheilus rhinocerous
Lineage: Eukaryota; Metazoa; Chordata; Actinopteri; Cypriniformes; Cyprinidae
Exons: 3
Source: RefSeq, a predicted model, not a curated record